AUUUUGGGAUUUUAAGAUUUUAGACUUGGGAAUUUAACCUAGGGUGCUCGGGGUUGAGUCUUUUACCAUAUUUGGUGAAGUUCAAUGUUCCGAGUACUAGAACUUGGCUUGGAAGCUCAUUUAAGGUUGUUAAUGGUGUCUUUCUUCAUGGUUGUGACUAGGUGUUAAGCUAGGGCUCGAGGAUCGGAUCGCGCUCAAGGAGUAUCGCCCGUAACUAACUCAUCUGAAAGCUAAAGGUAAGAAAACUGCACCUGGUUGAUUAUAUGAGACGGGACUAAGGGCUCCCUAUUGUAAAAGCUUGAAAGGAUGGUAUUAUGCCAUGCAAGCCAUUUAGUGAACCAACGGCCUAAGGGUGCCAAGGGUCUCACUAGCGCACAGGGCACGGCUUGGCCACUGGUAGCCGAGGACAGCUUAUUAUGCACUGAGCUUGGUUUAAGCGGGCCAGAGUCAGUGGGUUAAACAGAGGGCGCGGCCUAAGUCGUCGGCCCUGAUUAUUAUGUGAUAUGAGCAGAAUAUGUGGUAGAAUGUAUCUUGUAUUGGAUUGUAUAUGCUGAUUAUCUGUUGUGGACUAUCUAGUAAAGGCAAGGGCAAGUUAGAUCAGCCCUGACUGGAGAGCUCGGCGAGCGGAAUGUACAUUGCCAGGUGCUCGGCCGCCACGGUUGAGGUCUAGGCAAGGACAUGGAACCUAAAGACUGUCUGUUUUGCCUUAGUAUGGCUAGUGGAUCCUUAUGUACUUUUGGAAGUCUGUAAACUUAUUUUAACUUUGUGUUUAUGGGAUCCCUUGUUUAUUACAGUUUAAAUAUAUGAAAUGAGUCUUUUGAGACCGAAA
Long non-coding RNA from Humulus lupulus (European hop), 829 nucleotides. RefSeq lists it as uncharacterized. The transcript has 2 exons. Lineage: Eukaryota; Viridiplantae; Streptophyta; Magnoliopsida; Rosales; Cannabaceae. The record is from RefSeq and is a predicted model, not a curated record.